Molecule: non-coding RNA, 623 nt
Organism: Macaca mulatta (Rhesus monkey)
Lineage: Eukaryota; Metazoa; Chordata; Mammalia; Primates; Cercopithecidae
Source: RefSeq, a predicted model, not a curated record
CCAGCCUGCCUUGCCCUGGCCGGGCAACUAAAGAGAAUCUGGGCGCUCACUGUCGCAACUCUCACCUCAGCCAUCUUGGCUCAGCCCACCACUGCGCGACCGGAAGUCGGCGGUUUCCCAGACAACGAGGCAAGCGGAAGUUGUAGGACUGUGGAGGACGCUGAGGAGCCGGGGAAGGAAGUAAAUAGCCGAGUGACCUAAGGAAUCGGGGGAGAGUUAGGGUCUGCUCCACAGAAGGCUUACCGCUGAAAGAGUAGGGGAGGGAAUGCGCAGCCACUCGCUGCCUUUAUCCCGAGAAGCCCCUAACCCCUCUCGUCGUGGUCUGUACAUGAAUUUGCAAACACGCUCCCGGUGGGCUCCGUUUGAGCAGCAGUCUUUUGAUCGGAAAUAUUUAAAAGUUAGGAGAUUUCGCAAGAAAUCGGCCAUGGGAUAAAGAGACGACAGUCGGCCUGCGUUUCUGCAAGGCAGUGAAAUCGAUCUGAAUGGCGGCUGCGACUGUAGAUAAACAUUUCUUGGCCUUUUUACCACAGUCUUCCCUUCCUAGCAUACUUCAGGCGUUUUCCAGUGCCUGUCUGGCCCCAGGUGCGGUGAAUUAAAUGUUUAGUGUUUCUAAACCAGGAAAA